GUCAGCAGUCAAACCACCUGCAGUUCAGACUAGAUCCAUCUGACACUAAGCAGUUUUGGACCUGGCCAGUACUUGAACGGGAGACCAACUAGGAAAGCAGGGUUGCUGCUGGGA
RNAcentral lists this ribosomal RNA (114 nucleotides) under Paramormyrops kingsleyae. Lineage: Eukaryota; Metazoa; Chordata; Actinopteri; Osteoglossiformes; Mormyridae. The record is from RNAcentral.